AGAGUUUGAUCCUGGCUCAGGACGAACGCUGGCGGCGUGCCUAACACAUGCAAGUCGAGCGGAGGAUUCAAGAUGUUUACAUUGAGAAUCCUUAGCGGCGGACGGGUGAGUAACACGUGGGUAACCUGCCUCAAAGUGGGGGAUAGCCUUUCGAAAGGAAGAUUAAUACCGCAUAAGCCUCCGGUGCCGCAUGGCGCUGAAGGAAAAGGAGCAAUUCGCUUUGAGAUGGACCCGCGGCGCAUUAGCUAGUUGGUGAGGUAACGGCUCACCAAGGCCACGAUGCGUAGCCGACCUGAGAGGGUGAUCGGCCACAUUGGAACUGAGACACGGUCCAGACUCCUACGGGAGGCAGCAGUGGGGAAUAUUGCACAAUGGGCGAAAGCCUGAUGCAGCAACGCCGCGUGAGUGAUGAAGGCCUUCGGGUCGUAAAGCUCUUUGAUCAGGGAUGAUAAUGACAGUACCUGAAAAACAAGCCACGGCUAACUACGUGCCAGCAGCCGCGGUAAUACGUAGGUGGCGAGCGUUGUCCGGAAUUACUGGGCGUAAAGGAUGCGUAGGUGGAUAUUUAAGUGGGAUGUGAAACCCCCGGGCUCAACCCGGGAACUGCAUUCCAAACUGGGUAUCUAGAGUGCAGGAGAGGAAAGCGGAAUUCCUAGUGUAGCGGUGAAAUGCGUAGAUAUUAGGAGGAACACCAGUGGCGAAGGCGGCUUUCUGGACUGUAACUGACACUGAGGCAUGAAAGCGUGGGUAGCAAACAGGAUUAGAUACCCUGGUAGUCCACGCCGUAAACGAUGGGUACUAGGUGUAGGAGGUAUCGACCCCUUCUGUGCCGCCGUUAACACAAUAAGUACCCCGCCUGGGGAGUACGGUCGCAAGACU
RNAcentral lists this ribosomal RNA (879 nucleotides) under uncultured bacterium. Its description in RNAcentral is "bacterial SSU rRNA". It matches the Rfam family "Bacterial small subunit ribosomal RNA", at positions 8 to 895 of the family's 1533-position model. The record is from RNAcentral.